GAUGAACGCUGGCGGCGUGCUUAACACAUGCAAGUCGAACGGAAAGGCCCAAGCUUGCUUGGGUACUCGAGUGGCGAACGGGUGAGUAACACGUGGGUGAUCUGCCCUGCACUUCGGGAUAAGCCUGGUAAACUGGGUCUAAUACUGGAUAUGACCACUUCUUGGAUGUUGUGGUGGAUAGUUUUUUCGGUGUGGGAUGAGCUCGCGGCCUAUCAGCUUGUUGGUGGGGUAAUGGCCUACCAAGGCGUCGAAGGGUAGCCGGCCUGGGAGGGUGUACGGUCACAUUGGGACUGAGGUACGGCCCAGACUCCUACGGGAGGCAGCAGUGGGGAAUAUUGCACAAUGGGCGCAAGCCUGAUGCAGAGACGCCGCGUGGGGGAUGACGGGCUUCGGGUUGUAAACUCCUUUCGCUAGGGACGAAGCGUUUUGUGACGGUACCUGGAGAAGAAGCACCGGCUAACUACGUG
RNAcentral lists this ribosomal RNA (467 nucleotides) under uncultured bacterium. Its description in RNAcentral is "partial 16S ribosomal RNA". It matches the Rfam family "Bacterial small subunit ribosomal RNA", at positions 28 to 507 of the family's 1533-position model. The record is from RNAcentral.